Molecule: transfer RNA, 85 nt
Filed under: Anaerolineae bacterium
Lineage: Bacteria; Bacillati; Chloroflexota; Anaerolineae
Description: tRNA-Ser
Rfam family: tRNA
About the family: Transfer RNA (tRNA) molecules are approximately 80 nucleotides in length. Their secondary structure includes four short double-helical elements and three loops (D, anti-codon, and T loops). Further hydrogen bonds mediate the characteristic L-shaped molecular structure. tRNAs have two regions of fundamental functional importance: the anti-codon, which is responsible for specific mRNA codon recognition, and the 3' end, to which the tRNAs corresponding amino acid is attached (by aminoacyl-tRNA synthetases). tRNAs cope with the degeneracy of the genetic code in two manners: having more than one tRNA (with a specific anti-codon) for a particular amino acid; and 'wobble' base-pairing, i.e. permitting non-standard base-pairing at the 3rd anti-codon position.
Source: RNAcentral
GGAGAGGUCGCGUAGUGGCCUAGCGCGCUCGCUUGGAAAGCGAGUAAGGGGCAACCCUUCGCGGGUUCGAAUCCCGCCCUCUCCG